AGAGUUUGAUCCUGGCUCAGGAUGAACGCUGGCGGUCUGCUUAACACAUGCAAGUCGAACGGGAAUCUUCGGAUUCUAGUGGCGGACGGGUGAGUAACGCGUGAGAAUCUGCCUUCAGGACGGGGAUAACAGUUGGAAACGACUGCUAAGACCGGAUGUGCCGAGAGGUGAAAUAUUUAUAGCCUGAAGAUGAGCUCGCGUCCGAUUAGCUAGUUGGUAAGGUAAAAGCUUACCAAGGCGACGAUCGGUAGCUGGUCUGAGAGGACGAUCAGCCACACUGGGACUGAGACACGGCCCAGACUCCUACGGGAGGCAGCAGUGGGGAAUUUUCCGCAAUGGGCGAAAGCCUGACGGAGCAAGACCGCGUGGGGGAGGAAGGUUCUUGGAUUGUAAACCCCUUUUCUCAGGGAAGAACACAAUGACGGUACCUGAGGAAUCAGCAUCGGCUAACUCCGUGCCAGCAGCCGCGGUAAUACGGAGGAUGCAAGCGUUAUCCGGAAUAAUUGGGCGUAAAGCGUCCGUAGGUGGCUGUUCAAGUCUGCCGUUAAAGACCGGGGCUUAACCCUGGAAAGGCGGUGGAAACUGAACGGCUAGAGUGCAGUAGGGGUAGAGGGAAUUCCCAGUGUAGCGGUGAAAUGCGUAGAGAUUGGGAAGAACACCGGUGGCGAAAGGCUCUGCUGGACUGCAACUGACACUGAGGGACGAAAGCUAGGGGAGCGAAUGGGAUUAGAUACCCUAGUAGUCC
RNAcentral lists this ribosomal RNA (745 nucleotides) under uncultured bacterium. Its description in RNAcentral is "bacterial SSU rRNA". It matches the Rfam family "Bacterial small subunit ribosomal RNA", at positions 8 to 796 of the family's 1533-position model. The record is from RNAcentral.